CAGAAGACCGGCUCGCUGCACCUCCACCGGCGGCUGCGACGAGGGGACGGACUCCAGCGGCAAGGGCACGGUCUCAGGCGGCGGCUCCGGUGAGAGAGGGACGAGCUCGAGGGUGAGGGGAACGAGCGAGAGAGACGACGGUGGGAGGAAAGGGAGACGAGCGAUAGAGGCUACCCCGCGUGAGUCGUACAAUUCCACCGGCUCACACGGACCGCGUUUCAGGCUUUUUUUGGCCCAUGGUGACCACGCCCCGCAGCCAAACGCGAGCGAAUGUAGUUUUGGGCCACUUGGCACCGCGCGGGGCGGCCCGACCCUAUGAACCCAACACACCGUAAAAAAACCAAAUGAGAUCUCGCCCCGAUCAUCGCUACGUCAAACUCUCACAUCAUUGCAACAUUUUUCUCACGACCGUAUGAGAGACUUUAAAAAGUGUUGCAGCAUUCCAAACACAUGUUUGAAGCAAUUUUGUUAGUGCAUGCAACAAAUCCUCAUUUUGUUAUAACAAAAACAUAGAAUGAUGCGGCCACACGUGCAACAUAAAAUACAGUCGAAUGUAGCAUAAUGAAAACAACUCAUGAGCUCAUUAAAGGGCGCAUUUGCUACACAAAAACAACCGUUUGGAACGAAAGUCCUAGAUUCACUGCUACAAAAUAACAUGCACGCUUGGACCAUGUGAAAACAAUGUGUGCAACGAUGAAAGAAAAAAAAAUAACUCACCUCCAUUGUCAACAUUGCAGCUCCUGACUCCGUCAAUUGGGCUUGUCGGCACUG
This 771-nucleotide long non-coding RNA is filed under the name Brachypodium distachyon (stiff brome). Its description in RNAcentral is "long non-coding RNA (BDIS_LNC003150)". The record is from RNAcentral. Lineage: Eukaryota; Viridiplantae; Streptophyta; Magnoliopsida; Poales; Poaceae.